ACCUGCGGAAGGAUCAUUAUCGAAUUCCUUGGUUGGAGGCUGUCGCUGGCUAGUGGGCUAGAUUAGCUUCUAGUUUUCUAGCAUGUGCACGUCUUCCAAUCUCACACACACACCUGUGCACCCAUCCGUAGGUCCUCGAAAAGAGGACCUAUGCUUUUUAUCUCAUCACACUCUGUCGUAUGGCCAUAGAAUGAUAAUGAUAAUGAUGAUUACUAUCAUACAACUUUCAGCAACGGAUCUCUUGGCUCUCGCAUCGAUGAAGAACGCAGCGAAUUGCGAUAAGUAAUGUGAAUUGCAGAUUUUCAGUGAAUCAUCGAAUCUUUGAACGCACCUUGCGCUCCUUGGUAUUCCGAGGAGCAUGCCUGUUUGAGUGUCAUCGAAAUCUCAACCAAUGUCCUUAGGGGCUUGGCUUGGAGUUGGGGGUUGCAGGCGCUGAAAGGCGUCGGCUCUUCUGAAAUGCAUUAGUGGAUGGGCGAGCGAAAUCUUGGACAUGCACGGCCUUAUCGACGUGAUAACGAUCGUCGGGGCUGGAGUGUUUCGGAAGUCGCACGAAUAGGCCUAUUUGCUUCUAAAUAAUGAAUGGGUGGGUCUUGAUUUCAGAUUAGCUACUAGUCGGUCGGAAAGGCUGGCGAACACGAUCUGAUGGAGAUGGACUCUACUAUUUAUGCCCAUGAUCUUGACCUCAAAUCAGGUAGGACUACCCGCUGAACUUAAGCAUAUCA
This 722-nucleotide ribosomal RNA is filed under the name Tylopilus sp. RNAcentral describes it as "eukaryotic LSU rRNA". The stretch from base 222 to 376 matches the Rfam family "5.8S ribosomal RNA". The record is from RNAcentral. Lineage: Eukaryota; Fungi; Basidiomycota; Agaricomycetes; Boletales; Boletaceae.